CUCUUUCUCUGUGAAUUUCUUGAGAGCACAGACUACAUUCUGCUUAACUUUUUAUCCCCAGCUUUCAGCACAGUGCCUGGCUUGUCUGAGGCGCAUGGCCCCGGGAGAGGAGGAGAAUGGGACGGUGGUUCAGAUCUGCUGAUGUAGCUGUGGUCAGUCACUGGGGAGAAUAGGCCUGUGGAUUUCUGCUCCUCUGAGAUGGAUCCAUCACUGACUACUGAACUUGUUUUCUCAUUGGCUCAACUUAAGAAGGUUCUAGAGGGAACUGACUUCUUCCUCCUCAUGGUCCACUUGAAAUUCCAGGAAAAGGAACAGAUGUGCAAGGAAUUGCAGCCUGGAGAAACAUAGUGUAUUUGGAGACUUGCAUGUAAAUGGAUAAAAUGUCAAUCAACCUUCAUGUUGUGUCUACGCUCAAUCAUCCCUGAUGACCCUACGCUGACUACAGAUGCAGAAUUCAGCAAAAACCAAUGAAAGCAUUCGGUGAGAAUCAAUGGCUAUAUGGAGCUUACAAUAAACCGUAUUGUGUAUUUUAUUA
Molecule: long non-coding RNA, 535 nt
Organism: Homo sapiens (human)
Lineage: Eukaryota; Metazoa; Chordata; Mammalia; Primates; Hominidae
Source: Ensembl